This 283-nucleotide ribosomal RNA is filed under the name Cercagnota collini. RNAcentral's name for it is "partial 12S ribosomal RNA". Lineage: Eukaryota; Metazoa; Arthropoda; Insecta; Diptera; Anthomyzidae. The record is from RNAcentral.
CUGGGAUUAGAUACCCUGUUAUUUAAAAUGUAAAUUGUUUAUUAAGGUAGUAAUAGUUAUGUUCUUUAAACUUAAAAAAUUUGGCGGUAUUUUAGUCUAUUCAGAGGAACCUGUUCUGUAAUUGAUAAUCCACGUUGGACCUUACUUAAAUUUGUUUAGCAAUUUAUAUACCGUUGUUAUAAAAAUAUUUUUGAGAAUAAUAAUGUUUAAUAAUUUAUAUAAAAAUUUAUAUCAAAUCAAGGUGUAGUUUAUGUUUAAGUAGAAAUGGGUUACAAUAAAAAUA